GGUCCUAAAGUAGAUAAAACCUAAGUUGCAAUUCCGGUUUUCCUCAAAAUCUAAGACAUGUCACAAAAUAAUUUACUGCCUUUGUUGAUCUCGCUCCUGUAACAAGCUUCCUGCCUCACGUAUCUCCCGCCUUAAAGAGUUUAAAAGGCAAUCACCCAAAACCAACCGUGGCUACCCAUUCAAGACUGUUUCCACACUGUGGAAGCUUUGUACUUUCACUCUGCUCAAUAAAGCCUGCAGCUUUUUCUCACUCUCAGUCCAUGUCUCUUUCACUCACUGUGGUCAGCUUCCACACCAUUUCUUUGGUGUGGCUUGGCAAGAACCUCAGGUGUUACAUCUUGGCGAGCCAGACAGGAGACUCCAGAAAAGGGGUGAUUUUCCUGUACCAGUCCAAUGCCUCCAGAGGAAGAUCAUACAUUUGCCAUUUUACUGCUUAGUACGCAUGCUUGAGCCUGCUCGCCCAACUGCUGAGAUCUUAUUCAGAAACUGCUGAUCACCAACUCCAGGUGUUUUUAUUACACAAGACAAAAACGGAAAAACAGUAACAAAUGAUUGGUUAAGCCUUUCAAAACAAAGAAGUGUAUGUGCUACAGUAUAUUUAGACCUAUUAUUCUUAAUCUUCUAAGUGGAACAUAAAAUCUUAAUGUCUAAUACAAAAAUACUAAGAAUAUCUGGUAAAGGAAACAAAAAAUAAGUUAUUUCCUUAAGGGACUACAGAGGGUACAGAAGUAACUUUUUGUCCUUUUGUUUGCAUAUUUUCAUACAAAGGGUUCUCAUCUAUUAAUUCCAUUCUGAAAGAUAAACAGCACACCAGCUAUCCUUAGCAUUCUAUAUAUAAGAAACUUCAGACUAAGCUGAGUGUGGUGGCUCAUACCUAUAAUCCCAGCACUUUGGAAGGCUGAGGUAAGCAGAUAACUUGAGCCCAAGAGUUUGAUACCAGCCUGGGAAACAUGGAGAAAACCCAUCUCUACAAAGAAUACAAAAAUUAGCUGGAUGUGGGUGGUGUGCACCUGUAGUCCCAGCUGCUCAGGAGCCUGAGGUGGGAGGAUCACUUGAGCCUGGGAAGUGGAGCCUGCAGUGAGCUGUGAUCAUACCGCUGCACGCCAGGAUCAAUUACAGAAUGAGACCAUGUCUCAAAAAAAAAAAAAUAAAUAAAUAAGGUAAGGUUUAGCAGGUUAGGUAAAAUAUAUUUUAUGUGAGAAAGUUAAAUAAUCUACCCCAAAUCAUAAAACUACAGAAUGGCAAAUACGAAAUGUAGAACUAAAUUAUUAACUCCAAACCCAGAGCCUUCCCUCAAAAUUCUGGCUAGAAAUGGCAAUGCUUAGAUGAAUAACUUCUGUUUCCUCUUCAAACAUUAAUAUUCCAGUAUGCCUGGAGUGGGAGGAACAUUACACUAUACUUCUUUCUCCUCCUUCAUUAGUGAAGGUCACUGGAAUAGGUUCAUUACACUCAAGCAAAGGCCUGGGGAAAUGAUAGAAUUACCUCUGUUGACCCAGAAGAGCACCAAAAGCACCAGUGUGCAGAAAUCAGAGACCUCAAGCUAAAAGUCAUAAAAGGACAAGAACCUGGAAGUCGUCGAACUGUGGAAGCAAAAGACCUGUAAUGCUCCUGCUUGCCGAGCUGUGAGCAGUGGUAGUAAAAGAGCAGUAACAUUCUCUCCUGCUUGCCAAACAGGAGAGAAGCCACUGGCACCACUCCCUCCCACUCACUGAACUAUAGAAGAGAAAAAAUUGAAACACCAAAAUUGGGGAAAUGCGACUUUUGCGAAAAUUUGAAAGUGCAUGCUUCACAGAAGGAAGGGGGAGCUGGUCUAUUAUGUCUCACUAUAACAAGACUAAAAUUUUGCAAAUAAAUUGUUCCUGCCAUAAUUUAUCCUUGGUAGAAAUGAAGAAAUUGGAGAGAGAAAAAAUUGGAUUCUAGGUCCUGACCAUUGUUUUUGAAUUUUUAUUAUUUUCCUACAAUUUAGGCUAAAUUCUGAACUAUUUGCUGGCUACAAGAGGCCUCUAAAAAAGAGCUGGGUUUUAGUUUUCUUCAUGCUCUUUAAAAACUGGCAUAUAAUGGUGUGUAUCUCUCGUUGUUUUACUUCUAAGAAACUGAAGGCAUGAUAUUCUGAAGACUAGAGGUGAUUCAAUAGCCUAUGAAUCUUCUUCAUUUGGAACCCCACUGGGCCUGAUCUGUUUCCCAUCACCAAUGCACUUCUGCUAAACCUAUAUCCUAUCAAGUACUCUCCCUAAAUGCUCAGAGACCAUAACAGAAGAUGAGGGUGUGUGAGAUUAUAAAAGCCAAAUUAGUGGAGUGGAAUCUGGAGGCUAAAGCAACUCCAUCUUGGAUGCUAAUCUGCCAUGUUGGCUUCUGAUUAACCCCAGUUCUGGAGGGCCUCUGAGGUUUCCAAUUUAUCUACUGUCCCUUGUGUAAGAACAAGUACUUAUCAUAAAUCCUGCUAUUAGGGCAAAUUUCUACCCAUUCCCUCUGAAGCAUGUGCACCUCUCCUCUACAUGUAAUCUCCCCUACAAUAGAUAAACCCCUCUGGGUCUGGGGGCUAAUAGUGUGGGAACCCAUCAUCUUGCCUCACUGCUGCACAAGCCACAGGUGUGGCUUCUGUUUCUAAGUCCCUAUUAAAUGUUUCUAGAUACCAGAUGUAUCAACCUCUUUCUUCAGCCUCUCAGCUUCCUGGGACUUUGGGGUUGGUUUGCAUAGACCUACCCACCAAAAAACUCUCACAGAGUCAGUCUUAAAUACAUACAGAGCACGGUUGGGAAAAUUCCAUGAAUAUUUAUAGGGGAAGUCAUGUGCUUGAAAAUUGGAUAAACUUGUAUGUAACAUACAUUCCAUUUUGACCUGGGGGUGAGGUUUCAGCUGGGAUUCGACUGUUUAUGUCAAAAGGUAAACUCUAGGGCAAAAAGAAUUUGGACAUAGUCUCUGCAAGCUGACUGAAACUGGCUUAAGAUCUAUGGUCACUUAUCAAUAAAGAAUGUGAUAAAAACGGUCUUUGUCCAAUCAGAGUGCUGGCAGGACCACAAGGCAAGG
This 3027-nucleotide long non-coding RNA is filed under the name Homo sapiens (human). Its description in RNAcentral is "HSALNT0162858". The record is from RNAcentral. Lineage: Eukaryota; Metazoa; Chordata; Mammalia; Primates; Hominidae.